AGAAUCAACGCUGGCGGCGUGCCUAACACAUGCAAGUCGAACGAGAAAGUGGAGCAAUCCAUGAGUAAAGUGGCGCACGGGUGAGUAACACGUGACUAACCUACCCUUGAGUGGGGGAUAACCUAGGGAACCUGGGCUAAUACCGCAUAAUACCUUCGGGUCAAAGGAGCAAUUCGCUUAAGGAGGGGUCGCGGCCGAUUAGUUAGUUGGCGGGGUAAUGGCCCACCAAGACGAUGAUCGGUAU
RNAcentral lists this ribosomal RNA (244 nucleotides) under uncultured bacterium. RNAcentral's name for it is "partial small subunit ribosomal RNA". It matches the Rfam family "Bacterial small subunit ribosomal RNA", at positions 26 to 286 of the family's 1533-position model. The record is from RNAcentral.